RNAcentral lists this ribosomal RNA (299 nucleotides) under Clostridioides difficile. Its description in RNAcentral is "partial 23S ribosomal RNA". It matches the Rfam family "Bacterial large subunit ribosomal RNA", at positions 1933 to 2231 of the family's 2925-position model. Lineage: Bacteria; Bacillati; Bacillota; Clostridia; Peptostreptococcales; Peptostreptococcaceae. The record is from RNAcentral.
GCCGUAACUAUAACGGUCCUAAGGUAGCGAAAUUCCUUGUCGGGUAAGUUCCGACCCGCACGAAAGGCGUAACGAUUUGGGCACUGUCUCAACAACAGACUCGGGGAAAUUGUAAUUCCGGUGAAGAUGCCGGAUACCUGCGACAGGACGGAAAGACCCCAUGGAGCUUUACUGUAGCUUGACAUUGGGUCUUGGUACUACAUGUACAGGAUAGGUGGGAGGCUUUGAAACCAGGACGCCAGUUUUGGCGGAGCCAUCCUUGGGAUACCACCCUUGUAGUACUGGGACUCUAACCAUAG